UGCAAGUCGAGCGCGCCCUUCGGGGUGAGCGGCGGACGGGUGAGUAACGCGUGGGAAUAUGCCCUUCUCUAAGGAAUAGCCUCUGGAAACGGAGAGUAAUACCUUAUACGCCCUUCGGGGGAAAGAUUUAUCGGAGAAGGAUUAGCCCGCGUUAGAUUAGGUAGUUGGUGGGGUAAUGGCCUACCAAGCCUACGAUCUAUAGCUGGUUUGAGAGGAUGAUCAGCCACACUGGGACUGAGACACGGCCCAGACUCCUACGGGAGGCAGCAGUAGGGAAUCUUAGACAAUGGGGGCAACCCUGAUCUAGCCAUGCCGCGUGUGUGAUGAAGGCCCUAGGGUCGUAAAGCACUUUCGCCAGAGAUGAUAAUGACAGUAUCUGGUAAAGAAACCCCGGCUAACUCCGUGCCAGCAGCCGCGGUAAUACGGAGGGGGUUAGCGUUGUUCGGAAUUACUGGGCGUAAAGCGCACGUAGGCGGAUUAGUAAGUUAGAGGUGAAAUCCCAGGGCUCAACCCUGGAACUGCCUUUAAUACUGCUAGUCUUGAGUUCGAGAGAGGUAAGUGGAAUUCCGAGUGUAGAGGUGAAAUUUCGUAGAUAUUCGGAGGAAACACCCAGUGGCCGAAG
Molecule: ribosomal RNA, 622 nt
Filed under: uncultured bacterium
Lineage: Bacteria
Description: bacterial SSU rRNA
Rfam family: Bacterial small subunit ribosomal RNA
Source: RNAcentral